Molecule: ribosomal RNA, 257 nt
Filed under: uncultured bacterium
Lineage: Bacteria
Description: partial 16S ribosomal RNA
Rfam family: Bacterial small subunit ribosomal RNA
Source: RNAcentral
GUCCACACCGUAAACGAUGAUUACUAGAUUUUGGCCUUAUGGUCAGAGUCCAAGCGAAAGUGUUAAGUAAUCCACCUGGGGGAGUACGUCCGCAAGGAUGAAACUCAAAGGAAUUGACGGGGGCCCGCACAAGCGGUGGAGCAUGUGGUUUAAUUCUAUGAUACGCGAGGAACCUUACCUGGGCUUGAAAGUUAGUGACCGCUCCUGAAAGGGAGCUUUCCGCAAGGACACGAAACUAGGUGCUGCAUGGCUGUCGU